Molecule: ribosomal RNA, 537 nt
Filed under: Kodamaea ohmeri
Lineage: Eukaryota; Fungi; Ascomycota; Pichiomycetes; Serinales; Debaryomycetaceae
Description: partial large subunit ribosomal RNA
Rfam family: Eukaryotic large subunit ribosomal RNA
Source: RNAcentral
GCAUAUCCAAUAGCGGAGGAAAAGAAACCAACAGGGAUUGCCUCAGUAACGGCGAGUGAAGCGGCAAAAGCUCAAAUUUGAAAUCCCCCGGGGAGUUGUAAUUUGAAGAUUGCGUCUUGGAGGCGACCGUGUCUAUGUUCCUUGGAACAGGACGUCACAGAGGGUGAGAAUUCCGUGCGGCACGGGCCCCGGCUCCUUAUAAGGCGCUCUCGACGAGUCGAGUUGUUUGGGAAUGCAGCUCAAAGUGGGUGGUAAAUUCCAUCUAAAGCUAAAUACAGGCGAGAGACCGAUAGCGAACAAGUACAGUGAUGGAAAGAUGAAAAGCACUUUGAAAAGAGAGUGAAACAGCACGUGAAAUUGUUGAAAGGGAAGGGCAUGCCGUCAGAUUGUCAGUGUGGGUAAGAAGCGGGGUACAAAGACUGUGGAACGUGGCCCUCGGGUGUUAUAGCCGCAGUUCAUGCCCCGUCUCUUUCCGAGGCCUGCUUUGAGGACACCGACGUAAUGACGGUACGCCGCCCGUCUUGAAACACACGGACC